UGUAUGGCAUGUAGCUACUAAUGAGGUAAGUGUGAAUAACCUCUUUAACAGGAUUGCGGCUGUUCUGUUCCUGCUUACCGAUGGUGAGUAGAAUAGGUGAAAGUUUGACGAAUUUAAUCCGGUCACUGCAUUGCGAUCGAGACGAGAGUCUUCCAAUUGGGGCACUUUUUGACAAACUUCCUCGUUGCAUUUGACAAUCUUAGCCCCGUUCAACCAUCCAGCACGAUAAAGGGCCAUGAGACCGUUCAGAAUGAUUCCACGAGUUGUUAUCUCGACACUUCUCGUCGCUUUAAUCGAUCAGUGACGCAAUGAGGUUUCUCCUGGGCAUAUCGCUUAAGUUGGUCCUCUGUUUAGGCCUCUUCGACAUUGGUUGAGGGUUUUCAGUUGGCUUUGCGUUUGAACUCCUCUCACUGUGGUAUUGUAUUUUAUCUCAUAAUCAUAUAAUUUUUGUCUGUAUCCUUUAAUUGCACGAUUUAAAGUAAUUGAAUAAUGUUAUUUGAGCUCCUGUGCAUAAUUACGACAUCAACAACAAGAACACACAUCAUUUGUAUCCUGAUAUUGAAUAUUUCGCUCAUCAGAAUUUCCAAGCCCUAUUCAAAUUACCAAACAAAUUAGAUGCUAUUUAUUUCCAACUUGUCUAUUACAACUGUCUAAUAAAAAAUAAAGUCAGUUAACAUCUUACGAAGAAUCAUAGAGGCUAUAGCGUUUAACAAAAUAAAACAUUUGUUAUACCCGGUACUCGAAGAGUAAAUAGGGUAU
This is a long non-coding RNA of Drosophila guanche, 759 nucleotides long. RefSeq lists it as uncharacterized. NCBI's taxonomy places the organism in Eukaryota, Metazoa, Arthropoda, Insecta, Diptera, Drosophilidae. The record is from RefSeq and is a predicted model, not a curated record. The transcript is spliced from 3 exons.